GACGAACGCUGGCGGCGUGCCUAAUACAUGCAAGUAGAACGCUGAAGAGAGGAGCUUACUCUUCUUGGAUGAGUUGCGAACGGGUGAGUAACGCGUAGGUAACCUGCCUUGUAGCGGGGGAUAACUAUUGGAAACGAUAGCUAAUACCGCAUAACAAUGGAUGACACAUGUCAUUUAUUUGAAAGGGGCAAUUGCUCCACUACAAGAUGGACCUGCGUUGUAUUAGCUAGUAGGUGAGGUAAUGGCUCACCUAGGCGACGAUACAUAGCCGACCUGAGAGGGUGAUCGGCCACACUGGGACUGAGACACGGCCCAGACUCCUACGGGAGGCAGCAGUAGGGAAUCGUCGGCAAUGGGGGCAACCCUGACCGAGCAACGCCGCGUGAGUGAAGAAGGUUUUCGGAUCGUAGAGCUCUGUUGUAAGUCAAGAACGGGUGUGAGAGUGGAAAGUUCACACUGUGACGGUAGCUUACCAGAAAGGGACGGCUAACUACGUG
This 497-nucleotide ribosomal RNA is filed under the name uncultured bacterium. RNAcentral describes it as "partial 16S ribosomal RNA". It matches the Rfam family "Bacterial small subunit ribosomal RNA", at positions 28 to 507 of the family's 1533-position model. The record is from RNAcentral.